This 2500-nucleotide long non-coding RNA is filed under the name Sus scrofa (pig). RNAcentral's name for it is "lncRNA (ENSSSCG00060036462.1)". The record is from RNAcentral. Lineage: Eukaryota; Metazoa; Chordata; Mammalia; Artiodactyla; Suidae.
UUUGCUGUUUCUUGGGCCGCUCCGCGGCAUAUGGAGGUUCCCAGGCUAGGGGUCCAAUCGGAGCUGCAGCCACCGGCCUAGGCCAGAGCCACAGCAACGUGGGAUCUGAGCCACAUCUGCAACCUACACCACAGCUCACGGCAACGCCGGAUCAUUAACCCACUGAGCAAGGGCAGGGAUCGAACCCGCAACCUCAUGGUUCCUAGUCGGAUUCGUUAACCACUGCGCCACGGCGGGAACUCCUGAGAACAGUUUCUAAUGGAUUUUCACUAUCCUACAGCAUCAUUCUCCUGAAAGAGAUCUUUGCUGUCAGGAGUCUCUCUUUGUUCCAAAGUGACCAUCAAAUUAGCUUACUGAAUCUUUCAAAUCCUGUGAAAAAUUCUAAUACAUGAAUGAGUUCUAACACAUGACACAUCUUUUGAAGAAGUUUAGUUUCAUGUUAGGACUAAGGCCUCUUAAAAUUCAGCCCAAAGGAAGCUGAAACAAUGGCUCUCAUUGUAAUCCUCAGAAUGUUACUUCAUAAAGCCACUGGUUCAGAUAAGAGCCCAUAAACAAUUACAAUACAACAUCACAACUUUGACAAAGGAGACCUCUUACAGCCAAUAAGCUCUUGCCACAAAGAAUCAAAUCUAAGUCUGCAGACAUGCAAAGGGUGGACUUUGAUGUAGGCCAACUUUUAAAUUGCCAUUGAUGAAUUAGAUGUUCAACUCCAGAAGAUUUUAAUAAAGGGGCUCAACACUAUGUAUUAUCAUUCAACAAGCAUGGCCAAGUUCUAGCAGAACAUAGGGAGUAUCCAAAGAAAUACUAGAAAACAAAACUCAUUCUAGAAGAUGUUUUUCAAAAGUACUCCUUAACAGAUAACUGCCCCAUCAGAGAGUUGAAAAUAAUCUCAUGCUCUUUAGUAUCUGACUGUGUGAAAUGAUGUUAUCAUGCCACGGCAUUCUAUUCUCCAAUUUACCAGUUUAUGAAAAGACCCAUUCAAAGAAACAGUAGCAUUAUACUAUUCAUUUCUUGUGAGGAGAUUUGGCCAUUUAAUUCCCAUUUAAUACUUCAAACUUUCCCAAAUUAUGAACAAUGAUACUUAGAUCUAUUUGUUAAAUAAGCAAAUUUCUCUGCUUCUGACUUAGGUUUGAAAAUCUGGUUCUUGCCUCUUUUUUUCUUGUUUCUUAUUCCAGGACGAGUGAUCAAAUAAUUUUCUACUGUACAGCAAAGUGAUUCAGUUAUACACAUAACAUGUCCACUCCCAUGUCGGUGAUCACAGAAUACUGAGUAGAUUUCCCUGUGCUGCACAGCAGAUCCCUGCUGACCAUCCAUUCCAUAAACAGCAGUGUACCCAUGCCAGUCCAAAACCCCCAAUCCAUCCCUCCCCUCCACCUUUCCCCUUUGGUAACCAUGUUUGUUUUCAAAGUCUGUGAGUCUGUUUCUGUUUUGUAAGUAAGUUCAUGUGCAUCAUUUUUUUAGAUUCUGCAUGUAAGUGAUAUCAUAUUUGUCUGACUUUCUUCACUUAGUAUGAUAAUCUCUAGGUCCAUCCAUGUUGCUGCUAAUCCCAUUAUUUCAAUCUUUUAUAUGGCUAAUAAUUGGCCAUUCUGACUGGUAAGACCUCAUUGUAGUUUUAAUAUGCAUUCCUCUAAUAAUUAGCGAUGUUGAGCAUAUCGUUAUGUGCUUUUUGGUCAUCUGUAUGUAAUCUUUAAAGGCUAAUUUCCAUUUACAGUUACUACAACAUAUUGGCUAUAUUCUCCAUGUUGUACAUCCUUGAAUCUAUCUUACACCAAUAGUUCGUACGUCCCAAUCCCCAUCUCUAUAUUCUCUCUUCCCGUCUCCCCACUGGUAACCACUAGUUUGUGCACUAUAUCUGUGAUUCUGCUUCUUUUUUGUCAUAUUCACUACUCUGUGGUAUUUUUAAGUAUUUUUAAGAUAAACCUUAAACUAAUGUUAUGUCAUUUAAUAUUUAUUAAUCUCUAAUUUAGAACCUUAAUACUUUCAGAAAUGAUGGAAGACACCUCAUAAUCGAAAACAUAUAUUAAAACAUAACAAAAUACAAAAAUAAAAGUAAUAUAAUAAGAGAAUGAAGUUAAAUAUUAAGCACAAAAUCAGGGGGAAAAAAAUGUCCCAAGAACUAUUCCAAUUGAAUACUCUUACCAUAGGCAAGGUAAAAAAUAGUAUAUAAAGCAAUUUCAUAUUGAUGAUUCUUUCACCUCAGAAAUUUACACAACUGAACACUUUUCUAAGCAACUAUAGGUAUGAAGCAAUUGCCAGGGCACUUUAGUUCAGAUGAAAUCCCAGACCAGAAAUAUCCAGGAGCAUAUUCUGUUGCUGGAAGAAGCGAUACGGGACAGAAAAUUACGGCUCUGGAUUGAGCUUUGGUCAAAAGGAAAUGGUAUUAUCCAUAACAUCAUGACAGGGCCUCACCCCAAGUCUACAUUAACAAUACUUAAAAGGAAAAAAGAGGGAGAAUCAAAGCCAGAAAGAAAACAGCUACUGGCUUCAAACAUAUUUUAUG